Molecule: ribosomal RNA, 250 nt
Filed under: uncultured Chroococcidiopsis sp.
Lineage: Bacteria; Bacillati; Cyanobacteriota; Cyanophyceae; Chroococcidiopsidales; Chroococcidiopsidaceae
Description: partial 16S ribosomal RNA
Rfam family: Bacterial small subunit ribosomal RNA
Source: RNAcentral
CUAGCUGUAAACGAUGGAUACUAGGCGUUGAGAGUAUCGACCCUCUCAGUGUCGUAGCUAACGCGUUAAGUAUCCCGCCUGGGGAGUACGCGCGCAAGCGUGAACCUCAAAGGAAUUGACGGGGGCCCGCACAAGCGGUGGAGUAUGUGGUUUAAUUCGAUGCAACGCGAAGAACCUUACCAGGGCUUGACAUGUCCGGAACCCUGCCCAAAGGCGGGGGUGCCUACGGGAACCGGAACACAGGUGGUGC